UGAACCACCUGAUCCCUUCCCGAACUCAGAAGUGAAACCUCUUAGCGCUGAUGGUAGUGUGGGGUUACCCAUGUGAGAGUAAGUCAUCGCCAGCUC
This 96-nucleotide ribosomal RNA is filed under the name Acinetobacter pittii. Lineage: Bacteria; Pseudomonadati; Pseudomonadota; Gammaproteobacteria; Moraxellales; Moraxellaceae. The record is from RNAcentral. RNAcentral also lists the same sequence under 1 other name.